GAAUUUUGGACAAUGGGCGAAAGCCUGAUCCAGCAAUGCCGCGUGCAGGAUGAAGGCCUUCGGGUUGUAAACUGCUUUUGUCCGGAACGAAAAGCUUUGGGUUAAUACCCUGUAGUCAUGACGGUACCGUAAGCAUAAGCACCGGCUAACUACGUGCUCGCAGCCGCGGUAAGACCUCGGGUGCAAGCGUUAAUCGGAACUACUUGGCGUAAAGCGUGCGCAGGCGGUUUUGUAAGACAGAGGUGAAACCCCCGGGCUCAACCUGGGAACUGCCUUUGUGACUGCAAGGCUAGAGUACGGCAGAGGAGGGUGGAAUUCCGCGUGUAGCAGUGAAAUGCGUAGAUAUGCGGAGGAACACCGAUGGCGAAGGCAACCCCCUGGGCCUGUACUGACGCUCAUGCACGAAAGCGUGGGGAGCAAACA
Molecule: ribosomal RNA, 423 nt
Filed under: uncultured bacterium
Lineage: Bacteria
Description: partial 16S ribosomal RNA
Rfam family: Bacterial small subunit ribosomal RNA
Source: RNAcentral